Molecule: long non-coding RNA, 18145 nt
Organism: Solenopsis invicta (red fire ant)
Lineage: Eukaryota; Metazoa; Arthropoda; Insecta; Hymenoptera; Formicidae
Exons: 2
Source: RefSeq, a predicted model, not a curated record
ACGUUGAAAUUAUUUUUAUAAUUUUUCUUUCCUCUCAUGUUCAGUAAAUACGUCAGCGUUCGAUCACGCUGCGAGAAUCGGGAUUGUGUCGUUAAGGUGUGUGACGUAUAUACGAUGGAUCAUUUAACGGCAUAAGGUCGAAUGAUAAAAACGAAAUUGGUACGUCGCGAAUAACGCCGUGCAAUUCGCUCGCCCUGCAGGUGAAAGAAACGUCGAGAUAUAGGGAAUAGAGAUGUUUCCAAAACCGGUCGUCAUUUAAAAAUUUACGACUUUGACGGGCUGGCGUUCGGGGCACGUAAAAGCGAAAUGCUUCGAGCGAUAUAACGCUGCCGAAUCGAUUACCGCCGAAUUUCCAUGUACUAUUUUUAAUUUCGCAUAAAACUCGCCACCCUCGAAAAUAUCGUAAAUAAACGCCGAACAAAAACCGAAACUUGUGGUAUCCCGAUACGAUAUUUCCGAAGCUAUUUGAACGUUUCGAUAGUCUAUUAACGUUUACAUGGUAUCUGAAAGGCGUAUGGGACGGCUAUAAAUCACGUUCAAUAUGGCGUUUCAAUAAAACCGCUUGUACCAACGGAAAGAAAUUAUUUAAUGUUGGAAUUAGGAGUUAUUAUCGCGAUAAACAAGUGUUAACAAAAAAGAUCGUAGAGAGAGAGAGAGAGUGACCGAACCGUUGAACCAGAGCCUAAUCAGCAAUGUAACGUUUUACUCGACACGAAAACCGGAGCCGAUGAGUGAAGGGAAAUACGUGCGAGCGCGCGCGACGGGCUUUAACUAUCCGGAGAAGAACGAGAGAACCGCCAUUAGUUCAAAAGUUUUCCCAACAGUCUGUCAGUCUGUUUUCGUCGACGCGCUUCAUCUUAUUCCGGUGAGCGUGCGCGACGAUUGUCUUCCGCCGGAUUUUCGUCGGCACGAAACUUUUGGAGGACUCAACGAAUCACCACCAGGUUGUCGUCGAUGGAGAUCGACGAUCGGAGAUCGCUCUUCCGAUAAAUAACAAGUUAUUACGCGUAGACAAAGUGUGAACAGAUUAUAUAAUAUUUUUCUUAUCGAUCGUACGCUCGACGUGACACGGUUCUCGAGCGUAAAAUUUUUCGCGAGGAAUUUAAUAAUCCAGAGUAUUUAAGUAGUUAAUUGAGAGUUUAAAAAAAUAAUUUAUUGUUAUGAAAAGUGGAUAUUGAACGGAAUCGUUUUAUUACAUCCCACUUUGAACACAUCUGAACAGUCGAAUGAAUUAUCUAUCCUACAUACAGUUUUUUAUACAUUACCCUCGUGUAUGUACAGUAAAAAAUCAUUUAUGGCUAAGGCAGUACGGUGAAAUCGAUCUAGGAUAAUUUUCUUAAUUCUUUGGUAACGCGGGGAUUAAAAUUGCAAAUGUUUAUGGUGCGUAUAUAUGUCAACUCGCAGCAACGCGGCUUUCGCGACGUGAGCGCACAAGUUAAUGCAUUCCGCUGCACCAAUGGUACCAUCGACGGCAACGGUAUAAAGCCGAUGUUAAUAUUUGAUUUGCCGGUUGCUGGGCGGCGAUGCGCAUGCCCAGCGUAUCUUCGACAUCCUCUUCGCGUUCCACCCCCUUUAAAUCUCGCCACCCUCGUCCUCCUUCUCUCCCUCCCUCAUCGAAGACACUCGUAUUUACGUAUCCGUCGCCGCUUUCAAUAGACAGGAUUUAAUGCCGGGCGGUUGCCGAGCGGUAAACUCGCAUCUUGUGACUCGCGGAUAAGAAUUAUCGCGAGAGCGAUCUGAUUUCGCGACCGACGAGUUCAACGAUCUCCCUCGCGCAACAACUCGCGCGAUGGUACGAUACUUUAUUUCGGAUAAUUUUGGCUGGUGUUGCUAACGUCUGGCGGUCGAUAUACCGCGAUAAUUUUGAUGCAGUCGCGAGAAAGAGAGGAAAGAGAUAGAGGGUUCGAGAGAGAGAGAGAGAGAGCGCGCGCGCACGGUGACAUCUCGGAAAUUGUCGAUCGGACUUUACGAUGAACUUGCUAUUCCCGUCCAUCCUGCCCUUCGUUGUAGCGCUAACGCCAACUUCUCUGGAGAGUUAAACGGUGCAGUUCGCGUCGAAACUUUUUUUUUCCCUACGUUUAUAAAACGCGAGUUAUCGAUUAACCUUUGUGAGUGACGUGGCGAAUUUAACAAUCGUGUUUCUUUUUUUAACGGGAAUUUAUUAAUAUCGCGCUCUUAUGUGGUAGAAAAUGGUCUAUAGGCCGCGAUCAAGCAUAACUUUGUUUUUAUCUACUUGCCCGGCACUUUUCCAUAUAAAAUGCAUCAUGAUGCAUCUGUUGUACCACGUCGGUCACUAACGUAUCAUUGCGCGCCUCCUCGCGUGUUAAUAUUUAACGUGCCGUCUAACGUUGUUAAAACAGGAAGUCUGAUGUAGCUAAGCUAGGCAUUUCAAUGCAUAAAUUUAAACCCUUUGAAACUCGAGUCACUGCUUAUUAACAAAAAAAAAAACAUUUGAAUUUUACACGAGUCGCUCUUAUACAUAGCACUACUCAUCGGGAGGUCGUUGAAUAAUUUUCUCAGCGAACAUUACAGCAGAACAUUUUUGCAUUCAAACAGAAUAAUUUUUCUUCGAAGAAAAAAGGAAAAAAAAAUACGUUGAGAAUCUUUCUUUCUAUCGUAUAUGUUUAGGACCUGAAAACAUUUUAAUGUGUCACGAGGAUUUAAAUAUGUCGCCUUACUACUGCCUGGUGGAAAGCCGAACGUUUCUGCUGGUCGGAAAAAUUAUUUUAACGAUUAUUCCGUUAACGCUGUGUCUCUGAGAAACGCCGUACGAAAGCAGAUGGUCACGGAGGGAUUUCGUAACGUAGAGAGAGAGAGAAAACCACCGAGCCCGAAAAUAGACGACUUUGCGGGCGCGCGCACGUCCUCGCUUUAUACGAGGAAACGAGAGGCCUGUCAGCUGAUUGGACGAGUGCCAAUUUUUGGUGAAUGAACCGACGUGUCUCGUGUCUCGAAUACACACCCUCUUUGAUAGUGUGCCUUCGUCACAACUCGCAUUCGGUCGCGAAAAAUAUGAGGCCUUGUUUUUUUUUAUUUUAUUUUUUUUUUUUAUCAGCCAACGCCUGCGGAAAUGAAAUCAAUUCCGGUGCUUAAGAGAUAUGUAACAUUCGUAAUGUAACAGAGAGCGAGGCGACGAUCGAAUGUUACGCGUCAGUUACUUUUGUAAUAAUUUAGAAUUUUUAUCGAAGCAGCUAUAUUGUCUUUGUAAUCGAUAUAGAAAAUUAUGAAAAGGUCGAGUGAUAUCUAUUUAACAUGUAUAUUACGAAAUCAUUCGGUAGUAACGAUGCGGUUACAACAGGUCGAGAAACUAGUUGGAUAUCAGAAUUCGUAGCAAUGUCAGAAUUACAUUGACCAACUCGACGUCAAGUCCUCUAACGGCGAGCGAGUUGACUCGUCCUAUCGAGUUAAAGGAUUAACACGUAUGUCUACCCCCGAGAGGCGUGCCCAUUACCGCGAGAAGCGGCUUUGAUAUGCUAAUAAAGAACCAGUAACGCGAUCUCGAUGUCAGGAUAUUGUCGCCCGAUAAAGACGUUAGAGACACGGGACCCGAAAGAACAACCGCGCGUGUGACAUGUGCGUAAAAGCCAACAACAGGCUUAGGCCCCGGGCCUCCGAUUCCCCUUGGAAGAUAAUGAAAUUUCACAUGUGCGAGAAUCGAAAAUCAUCUCCUUUGUGCAAGGUCGCUUAACGGAACACCCGGGAGGAUCAUCGCCGAUAGAAUCUCACGGGUCAACUCGACACUGGAUACUGCGCGCGAGGGCCUUUUGCAACGGACGCCGAAGAGCCGCGCAUGCAAAUCGCAAAUGGCCGAAUAAGAACAUGCGUUUAUGCAUACGUAAUAUUCUUACGCGAUGCAGCUUUCGCAGAAGAAGAUUAACGGUGCUGCAUUAAGAAAAUGAAGAUACAGAAGCGUGUUGCGUUAGGAAAAUGGAGGUAUUAACUCGGUGGAUUUUACGCAGCGGAGCUUUACGAAGAAGUUUUUGUUGCGAGACUAGAGAGGAGAUUAGUCGGGGGUGGGGAAGAGAGAGGAGUCUUGCCGCGCGAUACAUCGGUCUCCAUUUCUACAUCUCGCUUUAUUUCAGAUGCGCGCUAUCAUGUACAUUCUCUCGACCGUAUCUUCUGUUCAUUGAACGAGAGAGAGAGAGAGAGCAUGCACCCGGCACGAUUUUCUCUAUUACACUUCCGGUCCCGUAUAUUCUCCUGCGUUUAUUUAUUUGCGAAUCCGUUAGACUUACUCGCUACCGAGAACUCUAUUACGCGCACGAGCGUCUCCUUACCGGCUGGCUGGCCGCAAUGCUUCUUGGCACGUAGAGCGGGUCAGGGCUGGUGGCAGCGAUACCACCGCGAUAACCUUGUUCGAUAAGCGUGGCGGCUUGCGUUUCCGUUAAGUCGUGCAUCCUGCCGCGAAUUGAGCUAUCUACAAGUUAGUAUCAAAUGCACGAAGCUCACUGCAGCCACGAUAGGAAAAAGGAAUUUAAUCACUCUUUAAUGCCGAUAGACCUGACAUGACGGUUUUAUUGGUGAAUCGCGAGAUGCUCUUUUCGCGAGUAAUCCUCGACCGUAGAAUAGGAUUAUUUACGCUUCGUAAAUUGCUGUCGGAAUUUUAACAGUCAGUCUUAUUUUUUUCUUAUUUUAUAUGUAUUUCUUUUCGUUCUUUAUUAUUAACGCGAGGAAUAAAAAUGGCAUAGGAACUUUUUCAAUCCGUUGACAUAGAACGUGGCUUAUUCAUUGCACAGUCAAAUAAAAAUAAUUGCAAUUUUAUUAUUCAUCUAAUGUUAUGCCAUUAUAGACUUCUGGCAAGAAUAUCAGCUUUUCUAAAUCACUUCGGGGAAAUGUUCAAUUCCAAGUGGCGCUUUUGCCGGACUAACGAGUUUAGGGGCACGCGCGUAGUUUCCGAUUUGUCCGUGGCAAUUUUUGAGCUUUCCCUGAAAAUUCGAUCAUCGAGCGCGCGCUGGAGAGAGACGGAGAUUAGUUCGCGCUCGGGAUGGGACGUGGAAGAGAUGAGGCGAGGGUAGAGCGGUUUCCGACGCCGGGGAUAGAAUCGGCGGGAUCAUUUCCUUGAAUUUAGAAAACUGUGAAAAUCCACUCUGGAUUCGUUGCGAUGGCGCGCGCGCGCAGGUCAGCUUACGACGAGCAAAUUGGAUUUCGCAGGCGCGAAGGGCGAGACAGAAAUCGAAUCGCAGGGGAUAAAAGCGUUCGGGGUAGAGGAGGGAAGGACAGCGGAAACCGUUUCCGUUCCCGAGUGCUCCCGCAGGAACGGCUUUCGUGUUCGUGAGUUGGGAAACGGCGCGAUCGCCAGAGCCGAUUCAUCGCAUCGCGCUGUGGGCUUCUUUCGAUCCACUGGCUUGCAAAUUGAAACACCGGACACAGAUGCAUCAACGAGCGGUGGCCUCUUUGCUUAUUUUUCUAAAUAUAUAAUUAUCUUUUAUUAUAAUAUAUAUUUCAUAUAUAAUCAUAUUUUAUUGAAACUCUUUAAACAUUAAAACAUAACGAGAAGAAAUUAUGUUGAGUCAAAGCAAUCAAAUGCAAUAGAUUAAUUUAUUGAUUUUGUCAUUUUGUACAUCGUAUCAGAGGUAAAUCAUAUUCAUCGACUAAUUAUAUGAAGAAGAUUGUUAGAUAUAUUUAUGGACUUUCAUAUUUUAAAUCCCUUAAUUUUUCAGACUCAUUUGCACUUUUCGUUUUGUGUGUCAAAAUGUAACACUUGUUUGUAUUUAAUGUCACAUUUUUUACAUUAAUUUUAGAAUUAAUUUAUGUUUAAUGUACAUUGAUUACAAAAUUGCUACAGCGAUAUUACAAUUCGCGAUAUUUGUCUCUAACGAUCAAAACAUUUUAAUGAUUGAAUUAAAUUUUUUUCUAUCGUUACGUUUUUAAGGAACUCACAUUGAAUAAUCAACGCACGCCUCUUUCUCUUGUUAUGUUCUUUUCGUAUUUAACGAACGAGGGAGUAAAGUAUUUCGAAGACUCGUAAUCAGUAAACGGGAAAGGACUUGUGAAAAUUUUAAUCAAACCGAGUGGUCGCUCCUAUAUCGAAUCUUGCUAUUUGCCACGUUUGUUCGUCGUCGGGUACAUAUUACUCUUAAUUUUGCAAAAGUCUCCCCGGGUCUCGAUUCCUUUUCCCCUAAAGGACGUAAGAUAAUAUUUGUCCCGAAAUUUCCGAGCGAGGACUUGUGACGGGUCGAAGGUAGCGCCGGUUACGUAUUGCAUACUGCGACAAAGAACGUUUGCUCUUCUCGGCACAGGCCGGAACUGCCGUCUCUUGAGAGCCUUUAAAGUUUAAAGGGCCAGCUGGAGGGCAUUAGGAAGGAGGCACUGCGCUACACACGGCCCUUUAAAUCUCGGUGAAAUUCUUGCAAAAUGUUCGAAGCGCCCCGUCGCGUCCGACCGACAUUUGACUUUUUAAAAGAAUCUAAGAAUUUUGCAAAUUAUUUAUUGCAACGAGACGAAAAUUUCUCUGAAGCAGCUACAUUACAGAUUUUCUACCAACAUUUUGCUUGCUUUCUCCUAUUUCUCGCACUAUUUUUAAUUGCAAGUCGAUAAAUUAAAUUUCUCUUUAAACCAGCGCACUCCUUAAUGAAUUUAUAAGACUAUGAAUUUGUUAAGGAUUAUGAAAUGAAGAGAGAAUAAAAAUUGUGUGAAUACGUAUCGCAAAUAUCUUUUUUCUUCUUUAUAAGAUUUGCAUUGCUAAUCAAAGCGUUAAGAAUUUAUAUUCUCUUGACUCUCCAAAAUUAGAUUCCAGUAUUUUAAUGAUCUUAGACAGAUUAUCUUUUUUUUAUUAUAUUUUUCUAGUCGCAUUGUUUUCCAAGAUCUAAUAAUCACUGACAGUUUGGUGGCACCUGCACUGCUCAAAUAAUCUUAUUUUAAUUAAAAUGUAGUCCGAUUUAGUCUUUUACUAAAGAGCGUGCUAUCAAAGUUUACGAGCGAGUUUGUAUUCCGUAAUCUCUCUUUGCAUAUCUUUUACAGUACUUAGUAUUGUGUUCUCCUGUUAUAUUAAGCAUCUUUCUUGUUGUUAAGCAACUGUUAAAAUAAUGUACAUUUUAUAUAUUUAUGAAAUUAACGUAAAAUACAUAUAACAUAAAAUGUGAUUUAAUGUUGAUAAUUGAUUCGAAGAUUUGAACACAAAAAGUAUUGGUUGAUCGAACGAUAACUAAAGUUACUCGUGUCAAGAAACAAUUAAAACAACGCUCGUUUGUUUAAAAAUAGAGUAAUCACAGAGAAAGAGGUCGUAGACCAGCUUUUUAAGGAUGUAACGUGUAAUAAGGCUGAUGAAGACUAAGUUGAGUCUCGAAACGUUCCCAAUUUAAACAUCGUUUGAUAAGAAAAAGCUCGUCUAUGACUCUUCGCGAGUCGCACGCUCACGUCGGCUUUACGCACAUUGCAAUCUCCGACAGUUUGGCGCGAGAUAUUUCUCUGUUUGCAUGGGGUAUCCUGCGAGACUCGAUUAAAGGGAAGGAAGCCUCCCGUGGCAUUUAACCGCGCGGAAUAACGAAGCGGCGCGCGCGAGUACAGACCGACCGAUUGAUCGGCGCGUACCGUCCGUUCGAUCCCUCUCGCCGUCGGCGUCAACGUCGAUGACGGCGGGGAAGUUGCGGUGACGGGGUCCGCCGGGGGCAGCACGCAGUACCGGGAAUCGACGGAUAAUCGAUAUCGGGCUCGAUUCCCGACCGCCUCGCCGUACGGAAUAACGAUGUCUCGUUAAUGCCGUCGAACGAGCGUGAAAGAGACCAUUCGUGUCGGUUCGCGACGGCGGCGGUGCUAAAGGAAGGAGGCAGGCACACGCUCCCUUACCUUCGUCGAGCUCGUUUCCUCCUUUGCUCCCUUCUUCCUGUUCUCCUUUCUCGCGUUUACGUGAAUGGUGACGUUACACUGCAGCGGUAUAUACUCGAGCGAUCCCGAUAACCCGACCGCGCGCGCGCAUCAAAGGCACACACCUUUGUCUCGUUAGUUUGCGUAUCGAGAUAUAAUAGCUGAGAUCCGCAUCUUUCGGUAUCCACGAUUAUCGCGGCGGCAACGAAAAGAUUUCCCGAUGGAGUUCUCCUCAGGGUCUCUCUUUCUCCCUCUCCCGCCUCGAUUCUCUGCUCUCACAUUCCGGGUUGCUCGUCGGGGGUUGAUACUCGAAAGCAACCAUUUAUCACUUAUGCUGCAUGGAUGGUAUCGUCGACGCAGCGAUUCCGGGAUAAUUUAUCGCGUGUUUUUGCAACGGCGCGGCGCGGCGCGGCGCGGCGCGGAGCCGACGGCGACGACGACGACGGCGGCGGCGGCGGCGGCGUCUCGCUGUUUCCGCGUACACGAAAUGAAUUCCUCGCUCUCUUCGCGAGCGAAUGCUGCCACGUCUUCGGCGGCAUCUUAAGUAUCUGGAUAUUCUCUGCCGCGGAUGGCGUCCGUCUUUUCCGUCUUCCUUCUCUUCGCGGCGCUUUCCUUCUUUUCGCGUUUGCUCAUGUAUCGAAAGAUUCCAAGGAUCGUCCCGUCAAGUCCGACUUUUCCGACUCGCGUUGCUUCUUUUAAGCUCAAGAGUGAGGAGACGACCAGCCAGCUCGCGCGACCGUGUCUCGAGACACGUUACAGUUUCACGAUCAGCGAUGCGAGAGAAACGCCGGUUUUUGUUUCUCGUCUGUGUAUAUCUCGCCCGGAAGGCUAUCGUCUUGGUGGUUGUCUUCGUCCCUAUCAUCAUGGAUGUACUUUCAUCCUCAUUCUCUCUCGCAACCCUGAGGCAAACUCACCUACCCGUACAGGAUAAGCUUAGACUCCUCGGUGUACAAUACACUUCCCCUUUGUGCGAAUAGUCUCGUCCGGUGAAUCGCGCUUUCAGAGCAAGUACCCCGAGAGAGCGAGAGGUAUACUCGCGUCGACUCGCUAGAAUUCUGACAAUGCACUUCGCCGAUGCUUGAAAUUUUUUCCUCGUCUCUUUUCUUUUUCGCCCAUCCUCGGCCCUUGAGCACGCGGGAUUUUCUUUUUUACAACCAGGCCCGAGAGAGUGAGAGAGCGGCGACGGACUUGCGAAAGAAAUUGCGAAAGAAAUUGCGUUCUCGAGAGACCGAAUUAUUCUUGUCAGCAACGAGGAUCUUUGCUACGAGACGCUGCAACGAAAAGCUGCAACUACAUCUUUCAUUGUUACACGCUAUUCUAAAAAAGAAUACGCGAAUUUUCGUAAAAUUAAUAAAUCAUACGUAGAAACGGAAGCCAAGUGAUUGAAGUUAAGUGCUGAUCCGCGAGCUUCGGAUAACCGUGAAAUAUUUCUUCUUACGAAAAGUUUAUCACAGGAUACCGCGUCCCAGAUUCCCCGAAUGUUCUCGUAUCUACAUUUUCCAAGCUUUUGCGAUUGAAAAGUAGCGCUACUGAGAUUUUUCUUUAAAUAAAUACCGGCGUCUGUGUCGACCGCCGUUCCGUCGACUCGCGUUCGCGGCAGGCGGAAAUGGGUCGCGAUAACGUACAUACAUAAUAGACGGAUGAAGCCGUGUCUGCCGCUUUGCAUACCGAAUCUCGCGCGACGGCCACGUUGUUACGUGAGUAAAGACUUUUCGUCUACUAAGAGGAACAAGAUAGCGGCGACGUCGUCGGAGAGGGACGACGAAGGGCGACGAAGACGGAGACGGAGACGGAGACGGAGACGUAGACGGCGAUGGCGGCGGCGGCGUCGUUGGCGCCGACCGGGUAAGAAGAUAACUUCGUUUCUCCUAGCCGGGAACCGAAUCGACCGGAAUAAUUAAUAAUUAACGCCGGGGCGUGACCCGCCCCUGCCUUCCGUAUUCUAGUUCGCGGCGGCGGAUGUCGACCUCGUCGCCAUCAUCUCGCCACGGAACUCCUAAAGUAUCGCUCGCAUAAUAUAUGGGGACGCCGAAUUCCCAUCUCCCUGGCUCUCACGGAAUUUUUCGCGAGACUGUUUUCUUGCGGUGAAAACCAAGAAUUAUUUAGGAGCGGAAAUCCCGACGCGCGCCCGCGCGAUGGCCGCGUCGAGUUAUACUUGGAAAUUGGCAAUAAUCCUUUGAAAACAAUGAUUAGUUAAUUACUUAGUAAAUCUUGAGAAGCUCGGUAAGCUAAGAGGCUUUAAUGAGGAUAGAGCACGAUAUAUAGACGCGGGAGCGUCGAAAGACGCAAAUGUACGCCGUUAGGAGUUCCUUGAGGUCGAGAAUAGUUAAAGUACGUUAUACAUACGUAAUGUAACGAGCAGAAAUACACACGAAAUGUUCGCGAGCAUAUGCUCGCGAGAGACGGAUUACGCAACGUUGAUUGUGGAAACUUUUCAACCGUUUUCCCGCACGGAGAUUUUUUUCUCCCCGCUAGUUCUUUCCUUCUCGCUAAAAUUUCGCGAACAACAUCAAAGGGCAGCGAGCGAAUGACGUCGACCAGCGAUAUAAUGGUCGCGAAAAGUGUGCCUGAUGCGUGAUCGUGCUCAAAAGAAUUCCGCAGCCGGCGAGGUGUGUCAGCCCGAUCGGAUUUCAGUUACCGUCUUUCGCGUUGGCAGACUCGAGUAUAAAAGGCUUCAUCCUGCCGCAUCCUACCACUCGAAAGAUGACCGUCGUUGUCGCGUCGUUGGACGUCUCGCAGAAAUAGACAAGUUCUAAAGGAGUGACGGUGGUAUCGGGGCGUGCGGAUAUUAAACCACACUUUGCGGAUUUCGCGUAAAAAUCGCCAUAGCGAUUCGUGGCGAUAUCGGCGAUGACUCUUUUCGACGAUUUCAAGCUCCAAUAAUCUCUAAAAGCUAACAAUGAUAUCCAGCAGAAGUGUAAUUCAACGAGAAAAUAUAAAAGGCAUGUUUUUCCUUUUAUGUAAUUGGAAAAUUAAAGUUAAUUAGAAUUCAAUUUUUUUUUCAUAAACGUCUUUGAAUUAAUUUUUUUAUAAACGUCUACGUUUGCUGCCUAUAGCUUCAGUAAAAAAAAAAAAUUGUUUUUCUGUGUGUUCUACUAAUGGCAAACAAUUGGAUAAUGUCUAUGUAGAUUCGUAAUUUCUCAAUAUCGCAUCAGCAUCAAGAGCCAAUUCGCGUUGCGCAAUGGCUAAUUUUUCAAUGGCAGACUCACGUGAUCAUUACGUCUUGUAACCGCGAGAUCUCGUGCCGUAAUGAUACGCCGGUAACUUUCCGCUCGAUCUCCCGACGCGGACGCGGCGCGAAAUAUUCAUCGUCGUUUUGUCGGACAGGCUGCACGGACGUCGUUACAAAAUGUCAAUUUACACGAGGACAGGUGCGAAAGAGCAGUUUGUUUUGAACGCUGAGCCAAGGUUGCAACGAUGCAAAUUUUCACGACGCAAAAAGCACUACGUUGUUACGCUUUAAAAACAGCAAAGGAUGGAUAAAAUCGUCUAAUUUGGCCUUUGGAGCGUUGAAUAAAAACGAUAUAAUUGACGUCACUACUACUACAUUGGUCAUGAAAUGUGCUGUUGCGGCUAUAAUCUGAUACAGGACGACCUGCGAACACGCUCGUUACACUACAACGAUAGAUUAGCACGCGCACAUACGUACAAUCGUAACGCAAAUGAGUGCGAUUUAUUAUUCUACAUAAUGCAACGGCGUCAUCAGAAAAUAUAUGAAAAUUGCACUUAUUUAUUUUCUGUCUUUGUGCUUAUUACGUGACUACUUUAUUGCAAGGACGAAAGAAACUGGCGACUUUUAUUACCGUUCUUUCUUACUUCACUAAUAAAUAAAAAGUUGAACAAUUAUAAAGAAAAUCUAAUAAAUAAAAUUAAUACAGAGCACUCGUGAAUGUAGAGAGAAGUAAUAAAUUUAAACGUAAAAUGAAUGUAAUAAAUAAUUCUUAUGAGAGAGACAGAAAUAUAGAGAGAAUUCGGAAGAAAGCGGGUUCAAUAUAGAAUAUAGAAUAUAUAUAUAGAAAUGAAUGCUCGAUGCGUCGCGGAGAAUGUUUUACGAAUUGGCAAAGAAACAGCAUGCACACAAGCGCGAUAGAGUCACUAUAUAUGUACGCAGCUAUAUGUGUACAAUGGUUGAGUUUUUCACCGGAAGUGAGAAAUUUUACGACUCCCUGCGUUGAGACGGUGGACAUUUAUAGUGACGUGACGUAAUCUCGCAGCAAUAAGCGCAAAAAGGAUCGUGCGGCAUUACCGAUGAGCAAAACUCGAUCGGUGGAAACGACCUCUCUUUCUCUUUUCAUUCUUUCCCUUUUUUUAUUUUAUUACGGAGAGUUGUCUGAAAGAUAUUGCAUCGCCUUUCUAGCUCGAUAAUGCCAGACGCCUUUUACAACGGCCGCGGUUUACAGCGCAACUUAAUAGAAUGAGUUUCUUCGGCGUAUCAAAUUUUAGUUAACUUGUUAUGCGAAGUACACCCUUCUUCUAAAUACUCGCGACUUAACGGUCGGUAGCUUUUUUGCAAUUCAAACGAAGAGACACGUCUCAAUUAUGUGACACUGUAAAAUUACAAUUUAACGGUACGAAACAAGAAAGGAUCAGGUCCAUUAUUCGCAGACGUAGUUUCUUAUUUAAAGCGAACAGAUUGCGGAAGUGCAAUUUCUAAGGAUCUCUCGUUUAUAUAGAGAUGCGUAAUGCGGUAUAUCAUAUAUUUUAUUUUCACUUUCUAAGGAAUAACUAUGAAUAAGCGAGUAGGUCGGAGGAGAGAUCUAUUACCAAACUGUAUGUCGCGUCUGUGUGUCUCGCGAACGAGAGUUGUAAAGAGACCGAGAGAAUGACAGCGAGAACUUGGAGAUAUCCCGAGCCUCUUUAAAUAACGCACUUCCUUCCUCGCGUGUCACUGGGUUACCGUGUUUUUCCCGCAAAACCCGCGGAAGAAAAAGUUUCAUCGUGAAUCUCCGCCACUCCUCUUCUCCGUCUCUCCCUUUCGCUCCCUCUUUAGGAACUCGUCGUAUGUUCCUUCGGCCUACAGCAGGUUCAUCCCUCGUUCGUGUGACGAUGCGAAGGGGAAGUAUGAAGCGUCGGUGGGCGAGAAAGGUGGAGGACGCAGGGGUUGAGAAACGCCGUGGAGAAAUCGUAGGAGAACGAAGUCGUCGAACCGGGAGGAAGAAUUAUAUCGCAUCUAAAUCAUACACGCGACGCCGGCGCAAGGCCGUUUUAUUUCACCAGUAUGUUUUACGGGAUCGAAAGAAAGGAUGAGAACGGUGCAACGAAGGGGCGAAAUCUUCCCUUGUCGCGGAUACAUCCUCUCUGCUCGCUUUUUCGUCUGCUCUCUCUUUCUCUCUCUCUCUCUCUCUCUCUUUCUCUCUUCGAAAAUCAACGAGAACGAACGCCUCUUUCCUCCCUCAUGGCGAGUCAAUACGAAAAAUACAAGGAAAAUCCAUACCGUGGCCAGGGAGGAGCAACGCAGGUUUUUCCUUCCAACUUCAGAGGCUGCCAUCGCCGUCGUCGUCGUCGUCGUCGUCGUCGUCGUCGUUGCCGUCGAAACGAUCCUUUGAUAAAGCAGCGAUGCAUGCAGAUGGCUUGUAGGGAAGAAACGGGCUCAAUAAAAACGGUAACAAUGGCCCGGGUGCGAGGUAACGCGGGCGUGGGUUGAAAAAAUGGGGAUGAAAAGGGAUCUCUGAAGGUGGAGCCAAGAAAAAGAGCUUGCGGAAAGGAAGAUAUUCUCGCAGAAGCGAGCUGCAAUUCCAAUUCGACUAAUUUAAUUCAAUGUUUAUUUUUCUCAUUAUUUUAUUUUUAUCCGCGCGGUUUUAUUUGAGCUUAUUUUCGUCGGCAUUUGUAUUUCGCGAUAGAGCUCGAGAUAAAAUUCUAUUUAUAAGUUUACAUGCCGUGUACAUAUUCCAUAUGCCGGUCUGGUACCAGUUGGUUCCGAAUCCUUUCGCAAAUAUUCCCUAUGCUCACGAAAUUCUGAAGCAUUUGAUACAGGUUGCACUAGGCUUUUCCCCUCCUUAAACGCGCCAUAAUGAAGCCUCCUCCAAAUUGCACGUUAGACUACAACGUGGCGUCAUUUAAUCAUCCACUCUUGGGGAGGACGAAAAUGACUCCUCCAUCUUAGACCGCUCGUCAUUCUUUCGGACACGAUACAAUCUUCUCCCCAUUCUUCUCCGUGGCACAAAGUAGCGUUGUUCCCAAGCAAGCCCAGAUUUAACCGAGGUGCUCUCUUUGCCCUCUCUCCCUAUCCCUCGUGCGACUUCUCUUUCUUUUUUUUUUACCUUUUGGAGAUGCGCUGCUCGUAAAAUUUUUAAAAGCAUCCUUCGGCAACUUUGUCUUCCGUUGAACCGCCGUUCCCUCUGUCCCUUUUCGCCUGCUGUAGCUUCUUUUUCUGUUCUAUUCCAUCGCCUGAGACGACGCGAUCAUCGGCGAGGCCGACACUAGACGUCCAAGGAAAAUCACGAUAAUCCCCCCCGGUCGUUUGUAAAAUUUGGCGCGCUCGUAAAACCGAGAGAGACGGUAGUUACGUGCAGGGGAGUAGAGACAGAAAGGAGAUGUUAUGAGUGGUUCGGAGGAGGGAGGAUGAUCCCUUUCCGAAACGUUCCCGCAGCGCCCCAGUCCUAAUCGUAAAAUCGUCCCAAGCCGUAGGGACUUUGCCUUUCCUAAGAAUGUAUCCGGAGCGUUUCCGAGUAUCGAUCCUGGCCAGCGAGGAUCCAGGUCCGGCAUUACAGGCAGCCCAGUUUCGAGCUAAUUGCUAAGCCGAGCUUAUUUAACGCAGAUAGUUGAUACGAUCCGGUCUUUUAACUUUUCGGCCGUACCGAAAAUUAAGAAAUACCCGUCCUUUUUUUCAGAAAUGCUUAAUAAAGGGUUAGCUGUUUUAUUGAGACUUUUUUUUAUGAACAUUCGUUGCUGCUUUUGCCAUAAGAAAUUCAGCCAAUUAGUUAGCUGUGAGCGUCGUGGGAGUGCCAGGUUCUCUAAUUCCGCGCGAGAUCGAUCGAGAGAACGGUGAAGUUGAUCUCGUAGAAUCGCGAGGUGGAUUUCUUUCCUUCGUCUCGGCGGAUCGUAACGUUUUUAUGUUCUUUCGUGCCGCCGUUUCCGGCUUUCAUUCCUUCGUUGACUAAAUCGACAGCGUAUCCUUCUCCUCUUUCCAUUCUUCCUACAUUCGUGAAUUUUUAUGUUCGCAAAAUUUUGCAUUACUUAAAUCUCGUGCCAAGUCAACCGAGCUUCAGAAUUCACUUAAAACCGGAAUGCAGAGAUCGCGAUUACCGCGAUUGACGGAAAAUCGUCUCUCCGUCGAUUUAUUCGCCGAGAUUCGAGCAAAUUUCGAGGAUGGCUCCUGUCGUCCCUCGGACGGGACGCGACGGACGUAGCGGGGUUGACACCGUUUAAGCGUGUCCCUGUAUCUUGAAUUUUACGAGCGCCACAAAAACAUCCCCGCAUCCGUCCGGCCGCGAAAAAGCAGCCUCGUAAAAUCAGGAGCGAGUAGACCGACAACUUUCAUCUUGGGCUCUUAUAUUCGCUAUUUUCCUGCGGAGAAAUGGCGAAACUUUGCUGCUCUCUACGGCCCGUUCGUUGUUCUCGCGGCGAAGCCCCGAGCUUGCAGAUCCAAAACUCGACUCAGUUACGACGAGAAUAACGUUGUCUUGCUACUGGCAAUAAACGUACCUUUCAAGCUCCAGAAGCAUAAUACUAAUUUGAUAUCGUAGCACUUUUAUUUGCACAAAUGUUUUAUUACUCUCACAUUUUUUUUUCUCUUUUGCGAAAUGCGCAGCGUUGUUUGGUUUGUCUAAAUUGGCAUUGGAAAGUCAGACUCGCUGUUCAUUCUUGCGAGAGCGAGAAGACUUUAUCCAGGGGAAAAUAAAACGUUCUGCCGGUUUACGGGCGCCGUAUCACGUCGUCUUAAAAUAAUUUGAAACUCGAUUUACAUGGGAAGAAUGUAAUCGUUCAUUUUUAUGCGGAUCACCGCCGUAUUAUAAGAUAAUUCGGAUUCACAUGAGCAGCACUACUUGCAGCACAACACGGAAUUUUAUGAUUUCCCAUAUUUUACGUACUUCGUAUCCCACAUAAAGAAUUCUCAUUAUGCAGUUUGUAGACAUAAGUUAUAGUGUACCUGCGCACAAGUCGUCUCUUUACAAAAUUAACAUUCCGUUAAAGAGGCACAUCCUUCUCUUGAUUAAGCUAAAAAUCAAGACGCAAAUGCAUUUUCCACCUCGAAAUGCAUUUUUUGCCUCCCCCUUCCCUCCCCGAUUUUGUCAAGCUCGACGAGAGGCGACUCCCGUGAAUUCGGUUACCGAAUCCCACGCGGCAAGGUCGUAAAGUAAAAAAGCGAAGGUCACUUCUCUCUCCGGGAAAAAGAAAUUCUGCAUUCCUAUGCGCACCGCGCUCGCAAAUAUGUGGUGCUGCGUGAGAAACCAACUCUUGCGAUCCGUGACUAUUUCAAGAAGAACGAUCCUUCUCUUUUUCCCUCCUGCCCUUUCACCGUUUCUCUUCUCUCUGUGCAACGUCAGGCGUGUAUCGCAUUCGUGAUGCUGCUCCUCCGGGGCCGGAAAGCCGCGACAUCGCCGAGAUUGAUCCCCGGGCGCGCGCGCGCGCGCGCGUUCGCAACAGAGCGCGUCGACUUUGUAACGUUUUCAUUUUCUUCUUGCCGCUGUGCAUAUCUGACAACGUAAGCAAACAGCAAAUAGAAAUUACGCUACAAGUUUAUCAUAAAACGGAGAAUGUCUCAUUGGUGUCUAACUGAGCUUAAAUAUUAGCAUAUCUUUUUAUAGUUUAAAGAAUUUUUUAUUGAAACUAUAGAAAUUUUCUUAUUUGAUACACACAAGCAGGAACACGUAUAGAUUCUGCAGUAAACCAACAUUUUUUUUGUAUAUAAUACUAAUCAUUUUUAUUAAGGCGUAUCUAAAAACACAGAAGGAUAGAGGAAAAAAAUUAUUCCAUUAUUGAAAUUAAUUAAUUGAAUUAAUUAAUAAUUUUCAAGUGUUUAUUUAUCUCACGUAGAAUAUGUGAGAGAGGCUCCACAUGCUUUCGUUAAGAGUAGAUGAAAAGGCGCGCUGUUAGAUGAAAUGCCGCGGUGUCGAGCGGUCCAAUCGAGAUACUUAAUGAAAUCUCGACGUUUCUCGUUAGAGAAACGAAUAGUCUUUGAAGAACGUUGUCGUCGUCGUCGUCGUCGUCGUCGUCGUCGUCGCCGCCGACGACGACGAUAUUCGGGCUGACCUCGUUUCGCGAUGGCGAAGACGUUAGCGGGGAGACAUUCCCGCUCUCGCCCGUGCCAUUUGUCCACCGAGCGGCAGCCGGCUAUUUUCGGGGGUUUUAUUCGGGCACCCGAGUUUCUAUCUGGCCCUUGUGUAAUUCGCCUGGAGCAAUGAAACACACGCGAGCGUCCGUCGUCCCGGCCACUUGAGAGAAAUCAAUUUUCACUUCGUCCAUUAAAUCCGUAUAUCGCCGCGCUUUGCAAAAAUCUCCGCUGAAACUCGCGCUGAGACGAAUCCGCGACGGAGAUAAGAGCGGGAGUAAAGACAACAGAGGGAGAAGGAGGUAGGGGGCUAUUUCAGUGUGUACUUUGCAUUAUUCGUCGAGUCGCUCGUUAAAAUGGCGGCGCUGCCACGGAAGAAAAUUGACUCUGGAAAAGCAACCUCGCUCUUUCCAGGAUAGAAUCUUCCACGAGAAUAUUACCCCCGAUUAAAAUAAUGGCACAGGACAUCUGGUCUCUUCUUUGGUGAAUUAAUUUUACAUAACGUCCCGAUUGCGUCUCUUUAACGCGAUAUCUCGCUUCGCAGUGACUCGGCAAUUUUUAUUUUAACAUUUUCAUGUUAUCAUAUAAAUAAUCGCGUCAGGCGAGGGGGGGGGGCGCAUUUUAUGUUCAUGGUAGCCUAAUAAAAUCACUGCGAUGUCUUCGAUGUCUGCGUUGUGUUCGAUUCAAAGUUGGCAAAGAACCGCGAAUAUAAAUUUUGUCAUAGAUUCUAUUGAUUGCCUGCGACCUCAACGGCGCAUUCUUUGUUCCGCGGACAGGGAUGCUGUUCCUUCAGCUUUAAGAAACUUUCAAAGGAACAAAGGUUACUGUUUGCUGCACAAAAUUCGACCACGUGCCGAGGCCUCUUGGGGGAAUACAUCCUUCUAGAAUAGUGCUGGUGCCGGUGGUGGUAGUGAUGAUAGUGGUGGUUGAACUCUCGCACGUUUCCCUUUUCCUUUGUUCAAGAAGUUACACUAUCGCUUCUCGCCGUUGUCGUCGUCGUCCGCGCCGGGAUCGUUAAUCGAGUGUGGAUGACAUACCGAUCGCAUCUUCGAGUGAGACGUGACGUUUUCCCGAGGAUCAUAUUUUUCUUUUUUUCUUAUCUCUUCAAUCAGUCUUUUGUGGAAGGGAUAA